RNAcentral lists this ribosomal RNA (327 nucleotides) under Trogloneta sp. MYSM-022-ARG. RNAcentral's name for it is "SSU rRNA". It matches the Rfam family "Eukaryotic small subunit ribosomal RNA", at positions 1481 to 1804 of the family's 1831-position model. The record is from RNAcentral. Lineage: Eukaryota; Metazoa; Arthropoda; Arachnida; Araneae; Mysmenidae.
CCGGGGCCGCACGCGCGCUACAUUGAAGGAAUCAGCGUGUGCUUUCCCGGUCCGACAGGACUGGGUAACCCGUUGAAACUCUUUCGUGCUGGGGAUUGGAAAAUGUAAUUAAUUCCAUGAACGAGGAAUUCCCAGUAAGCACGAGUCAUCAGCUCGUGUUGAUUACGUCCCUGCCCUUUGUGCACACCGCCCGUCGCUACUACCGAUUGAAUGAUUAAGUGAGGUCUUCGGACUGGCGCUCGGAUUGGCCUUCGGGUCGAGCCGGCGUGCCGGAAAGAUGACCAAACUUGAUUAUUUAGAGAUAGUAAAAGUCGUAACAAGGUUUCC